Molecule: ribosomal RNA, 269 nt
Filed under: uncultured prokaryote
Description: partial 16S ribosomal RNA
Rfam family: Bacterial small subunit ribosomal RNA
Source: RNAcentral
UACGUAGGUGGCAAGCGUUAUCCGGAUUUACUGGGUGUAAAGGGAGCGCAGACGGCAGUGCAAGUCUGAUGUGAAAUCCCGGGGCUCAACCCCGGAACUGCAUUGGAAACUGCGCAGCUCGAGUAUCGGAGAGGUAAGCGGAAUUCCUAGUGUAGCGGUGAAAUGCGUAGAUAUUGGGAGGAACACCGGCGGCGAAGGCGGCUUACUGGACGAAGACUGACGUUGAGGCUCGAAAGCGUGGGGAGCAAACAGGAUUAGAUACCCUGGUA